Molecule: ribosomal RNA, 551 nt
Filed under: bacterium PGV021
Lineage: Bacteria
Description: bacterial SSU rRNA
Rfam family: Bacterial small subunit ribosomal RNA
Source: RNAcentral
CCUAUCAGCUUGUUGGUGAGGUAAUGGCUCACCAAGGCGACGACGGGUAGCCGGCCUGAGAGGGUGACCCGCCACACUGGGACUGAGACACGGCCCACACUCCUACGGGAGGCAGCAGUGGGGAAUAUUGCACAAUGGGCGAAAGCCUGACGCACCGACGCCGCGUGAGGGAUGACGGCCUUCGGGUUGUAAACCUCUUUCAGUAGGGAACAAGGCUACACGUUGUGUGGUUGAGGGUACCUGCAGAAGAAGCGCCGGCUAACUACGUGCCAGCAGCCGCGGUAUACGUACGGCGCAAGCGUUAUCCGGAAUUAUUGGGCGUAAAGAGCUCGUACGCGGUUUGUCGCGUCUGCCGUGAAAGUCCGGGGCUCAACUCCGGAUCUGCGGAGGGCACGGGCAGACUAGAGUGAUGUAGGGGAGACUGGAAUUCCUGGUGUAGCGGUGAAAUGCGCAGAUAUCAGGAGGAACACCGAUGGCGAAGGCAGGUCUCUGGGCAUUAACUGACGCUGAGGAGCGAAAGCAUGAGGAGCGAACAGGAUUAGAUACCCUGG